Long non-coding RNA from Gallus gallus (chicken), 2244 nucleotides. NCBI's taxonomy places the organism in Eukaryota, Metazoa, Chordata, Aves, Galliformes, Phasianidae. The record is from Ensembl.
CGGGAAGGCAGCAGCUCAGCUCCUCCGGCUGCAGCAGCGACUGCACUACAGCAUCACCCUCUGGUUUUAUGGUGCCUUCCUCUCCCCUGCAUUCGCAGAGGGCCACAUUCACCCCGUUCUUCGCCCUACCCUGCCUGUGUAUGAUGGCAAAAUCUCCAGUGCAAAUGAAGAUGCUCCUGGCAUACUCCUUACCCACCUGGGCUAUUAUGGAGACAGAUUUGGAGGCUGGCGGCUCUUUGGCUCUGAGAAAAUCCCUGAAGAAAACAUCUUGGACACCCUGAGGCAUCACCUCACAAGUUGGACACCUGAAAUGCCUUCUAGCAGCAAAACUCAUUCAAAGGAAAUGAUUAUAAUGUUUUCUAGGAAGAAAGGAGUACAAAGACCUCUCAGCCCUAAACCAAAACCAAACAUCUCAGCACAAAUUGGAGCCUUGAUAGCUCAAAGCAAGAGCCUCACAAACAUCUAUUAGAAGCAGGAAAUGUCUAAUGGAAAACUUACAAACAUCUGAUACAUGAAAGAGAAGGCACAAAACAGGAAAGCAGAGGCAUGAACAGCUAAUUGCUGUAGAUUCCUCACAACAUUUGCUGAAACGCAGCAAGACACAGCACCAGCACUGGGGUAUACAACCACCAUUAAAGUAUUAGGAGCAACACUCAGAAAACUGCAACUUUAAAACAAAGCACUAAUACUUGGGACGAAGUGAAGCUGAUUCUGCUUGUGCCUGAGUUUACAAGGAGGUUUUGAAGGUGGCCAGAGGCAUCCUGGCAUGCUGCUUCUUAGCUAAUCCAUGCAAUGAAAGCUUGAAAAGAGGGUGUUUUUUAAAAGUAUGAAUUACUCUUCACACUGAAAGCGAGGCUUAAAAGCAAACUAUACAUUUUGUCAGGUACUGCAAGUGUACACCCCAUCCUACAGCUGAAAUUUGUAUUCAGUUCUGAUAAGCAUUGGUCCAUCUAUGGAAAAUGUGAGGUUUUGAUCAAGAGCAGUGCAUUAUGCUGAGCAUGGACGUGCAGCAAGCACACAGCACCUAUUCUGGCCCCUUGUAAAUGCCUGCUGCUUGUCUGAUUUGAAUAAAGUUAUGCCUGCUACUGUCAGAACUGCAUUUGGCUCAUGGUCUUCAUGCAAAUUGCCUCUUGCCUGAAUGUGCGCACCAUAUUAAGAAUGCAAAUAUGUUUGGACUCAAUGAUUGUUCCUUUAUUUGCUGUACACCACCCUAAUUCACUAGGAGCUGAAUCAGGGUAGUUUUGGUGUAUGCAGGAAGGCAGACUCAGACAAAAAUACAUGAAACUGUUUGCAAAUAAGUUAAUUAUGUCAAUAGAUCUGAUCUGAACAGUAACAUUCUCUGAUAUGCGUAUGACUUCUUGGGUGCAGCCAACAGAAUAAAAAGAGAAAAGGUUUGAAAAGAAUAGUUACUUUUCACAACGCAAAGUGUCUUUUCCUGCGUACACCUCAAUUACACUUACAUCCAGGAUUCCAGGAUUUCCUAUCUGUGAUACUUAGAGCUCUGAAGGCCAGGUGCUCGUCCUUUUCAGCGUGAAUGAACCAGUUCAUAAGCGUGAUGUUGCUGCGUGGAUUGCCCUGACUGACAUCCUGGAGCUGGAACCCAGUGACUGCACCCAUUUGCACAACAGCCAGUACAAAAUGGGCGCAGAAAUGAAGUACAUUCCCACUGUUUAUUUCACUGGCCAGGAAAGAGGAUGCUCCCAACUCCCAUCCUCAGUCUGAGAAGAGUGCCAGCUUUGGGUGGGAUUGUGGAUAUGUAAAUAUCCACCCGUGAGGAACACGCUGAGACCAGAGAAUUGCUCUGCAAAAGACUGACUGCUGGUGUGGAUGUUUUCAAAGUUAGCAGUGUGAUCGCUUGAAUUGGACUAUGAUAUUCUUAUUUUGAAAGCAGAGUCCAAUGGGCAAAUUAAUUUCUGAAGGCAUAGCUGAAUGCCUGACUGCCAAAGUGGAUAAUGAGCGUAUCACCAGUGAGUCAGAGGGGAGGCAGCAAUAAAACGGAGCGAGGCUGGACAGCAAUAAAGCAGCAGAGAGGGAAGCUCACACCUUGGCAUCAUGCUCAUCUUUGCUCUGGAGGGAGUGUGUAAAAAAGACAACAUCCAAAGCUCUUAGAAAUUAAGCUCUAAUGAGUCUCAUGGAAGGAACCCAUAACAAGGGAUCUGUGGGGGCUGAAGGAAUUUGGAACUACAGACAGCCAACCCAGUAGUGUGUACAUAUCUGUAGCUGCUGGAGAGCAGUGCAUCUCAG